GAACGCACCUUGCACCCUUUGGCAUUCCGAAGGGUAUGCUCGUUUGAGUGUCAUUGUACUCUCACUCUCCCGAUCUUUGGGUUGGGAGUGGUGGACUUGGGUGUUGCUGCUUUACCGUGGCUCACCUCAAAUGGAUUCGUGCAACUCCUGGUUGGACAUAGUACGGCGUGAUAAGUGUCUUCGCCGGCACCUCACUAGAGGGUGGCUGACCGGGAGCUCUGUGCUUCAAACCGUCUUCGGACAACAACUGACAACUUGACCUCAAAUCGAGUAGGACUACCCGCUGAACUUA
RNAcentral lists this unclassified non-coding RNA (292 nucleotides) under uncultured Sebacina. RNAcentral describes it as "sequence contains 5.8S rRNA gene". Lineage: Eukaryota; Fungi; Basidiomycota; Agaricomycetes; Sebacinales; Sebacinaceae. The record is from RNAcentral.